This 25-nucleotide non-coding RNA is filed under the name Mus musculus (house mouse). Lineage: Eukaryota; Metazoa; Chordata; Mammalia; Rodentia; Muridae. The record is from RNAcentral.
UUCAAGUGCAGGUUUCAGAAUACCA